This 258-nucleotide ribosomal RNA is filed under the name uncultured bacterium. Its description in RNAcentral is "partial 16S ribosomal RNA". It matches the Rfam family "Bacterial small subunit ribosomal RNA", at positions 96 to 354 of the family's 1533-position model. The record is from RNAcentral.
UGGCGGACGGGUGAGUAACGCGUGGGUAACCUGCCCUGUACAGGGGGACAACAGUUAGAAAUGACUGCUAAUACCGCAUAAGCGCACAGGACCGCAUGGUCCGGUGUGAAAAACUCCGGUGGUACAGGAUGGACCCGCGUCUGAUUAGGUAGUUGGCGGGGUAACGGCCCACCAAGCCGACGAUCAGUAGCCGACCUGAGAGGGUGAUCGGCCACAUUGGGACUGAGACACGGCCCAAACUCCUACGGGAGGCAGCAG